GUUUGCGCGCCCGAAUGAACUCAGAAAGUAUCUUUUGAAUAGUAUAAUGACAUGGGUUGGUUUGGUCGUGUAUGAUUUUCUUAAUUUUUUGUGGGCUGAUUAUGUUGGAUACAGCGGCUUCCUAUGGCUUUAUAUAUGAAUA
Long non-coding RNA from Juglans microcarpa x Juglans regia, 142 nucleotides. RefSeq lists it as uncharacterized. NCBI's taxonomy places the organism in Eukaryota, Viridiplantae, Streptophyta, Magnoliopsida, Fagales, Juglandaceae. The transcript has 4 exons. The record is from RefSeq and is a predicted model, not a curated record.